This 496-nucleotide ribosomal RNA is filed under the name uncultured bacterium. RNAcentral's name for it is "partial 16S ribosomal RNA". It matches the Rfam family "Bacterial small subunit ribosomal RNA", at positions 28 to 507 of the family's 1533-position model. The record is from RNAcentral.
GAUGAACGCUGGCGGCGUGCCUAAUACAUGCAAGUCGAGCGAACAGACGAGGAGCUUGCUCCUCUGACGUUAGCGGCGGACGGGUGAGUAACACGUGGAUAACCUACCUAUAAGACUUGGAUAACUUCGGGAAACCGGAGCUAAUACCGGAUAAUAUAUUGAACCGCAUGGUUCAAUAGUGAAAGACGGUUUUGCUGUCACUUAUAGAUGGAUCCGCGCCGCAUUAGCUAGUUGGUAGGUAACGGCUUACCAAGGCAACGAUGCGUAGCCGACCUGAGAGGGUGAUCGGCCACACUGGAACUGAGACACGGUCCAGACUCCUACGGGAGGCAGCAGUAGGGAAUCUUCCGCAAUGGGCGAAAGCCUGACGGAGCAACGCCGCGUGAGUGAUGAAGGUCUUCGGAUCGUAAAACUCUGUUAUUAGGGAAGAACAAAUGUGUAAGUAACUAUGCACGUCUUGACGGUACCUAAUCAGAAAGCCACGGCUAACUACGUG